Molecule: long non-coding RNA, 1223 nt
Organism: Papaver somniferum (opium poppy)
Lineage: Eukaryota; Viridiplantae; Streptophyta; Magnoliopsida; Ranunculales; Papaveraceae
Exons: 2
Source: RefSeq, a predicted model, not a curated record
AGAUCUGUGCAAGGCUUUGGGUAUUAAUGGAGUCAUGAACUAAGAGGGACGGAUCUGAGUAUGAGAAAUAGAUGUGAUGUGUUAAUUUUUAGAUAGUUUUUUUAGAGUAAUUUGAUUUCUAGGUUUGUUUGUUCUUUGCUGCCUUGUUUCCUUAUGAUUCUGCAGAGAAAGUGGUGUGAUUCUUUCAAACCCAAGACUUUCUAUGGAUUUGUUUGUUCUUCUAUUUUCUGUUUUUUCUCCCGAUUCCUCCUUAAGGUUGUUGAUUGGUACGCUUGUUUUGGUACAACAACAACAGGAGUGUUUAUGUGUGUUGAGUUCCGGGAUUCUAGUUUCCUUGUUGGCCUAUUAUGUGUGUUCAGUUUGUAGAAUUCCUCUUUGAUUUCCUUUUUAUCAGGUCUCCCUUUUCAUUUCAAUGGUACCUAAUUUAAUUUAUUUACUUCUCAUUGGUGGAUAGCCUGAUUUGUUCUUACAGAAAUCACCAAUCUUCUCUUUUGUUCUGUGUGUUGUUGGAGAUCAAUUCUGAGGAAGGUGAUGUUUCUUGUCUGAUCGGAUAGAAAUUAAAAUCGGAUGUUGGAUCGCUGACAUUGUUAUUGAGCAUGUCGAUGCCAUAUUUUUAAAACCGGAAAAUGAAGGCUCUUUUGAACCAUCAUGAUGCUGAAAUCAAUGCUGGCUAUGUUAUUCUAGUUUUUCCUUGGGUUGGUGAUUCCAAAGGCGGUGUUUUUUUCGAAGAUACAACCUCAACUUUCACCAAUUAAAUCAUGGAUUAGCAGGACCCCCUCCUGGAUAGGCCGACGUGACACUUCUAGCAGUCUUGCUAGAAGAACUCAUGAAUCUAUCUUGAUAGUUCUAUCUCGAGCAAAGGUGCUUAUUUCCAACAACUUGUUUGUGGAAUCUAACAUAUUACCAGUAUUAGAAGACAACUCUUUGGGUGCCGAUAGAGCACGAAGCAUUCCUAGAUCUCUGAAAUUCUACAAUUGCAUUGGUUGGUAUUGUAUGCUUUUGUAUUUUAUAUCUCUUAGAACUUAUCGCGUUGUACUCUUUUCCUUUGCUAAUUUUCUAGGUAAGGUUUUUAAUGAGGCAACAUAUGCGUGUCCAACAAGGCAUCAUGUAUCUUUUGAUGCCGGUCGUUCUACUGUUUUUCUUUAUUUUGUUCUCUUUGCAAUAACUUUAAGUGAUUCAGUGUAUUCAAUAAAUUUCUUUCUUACCAAAAAAAAAAAAAAAAA